This 446-nucleotide unclassified non-coding RNA is filed under the name Hevea brasiliensis (rubber tree). The record is from RNAcentral. Lineage: Eukaryota; Viridiplantae; Streptophyta; Magnoliopsida; Malpighiales; Euphorbiaceae.
AUUUGGAAAGCACACUUACUAUUCAAACUUGAGAAUAAACUUUAUCCAAGAAUAAAAGAACUUGAGGAUAAACUUUCUCCAAGAAUAAAAGAAUUUUGGUUAAUUGAUAUUUUAAUUCCACAGAAAUUAAGAAAAGACAGUAUAUCUACUCCUAUAUAGUUUUCACGAUGAUAGUUCCACCUAGUAGAUGGAGUAUCAAAACAACUAGUUCUCCAGGAAUUUUUCUCAUCAAAAGCUCAUUCAAAACAAGCAGAGCCUUAUCAGUGAACAUUGUAACUGCAACUAAACAGCAGCAAUAGCAUAACCUAAAGACAUUCCACAAUUAAGUCCAAAAGGUGGACUUUCUAGAUAAUAAACAAAAUAUAGUGGAAAGUAACUUUAAUUAUGAGAAUAAUUCUCAAUUAAAUUUGAAAUUGAAAUUUCGAGAGAGAGAAAGAGAGAGAGAG